CAUGAUGAUUCACACUGCUGAAAAGCCGUUUUCAUGUGUGACCUGUGAAAAAAGUUUUCGUGACAAACUUAGUUUAACUCAGCACAUGAUGAUUCACACUGGUGAAAAGCCGUUUUCAUGUAUGAACUGUGGACAAAGUUUUAGUCGAAAACUUAGUUUAACUCGGCACAUGAUGAUUCACACUGGUGAAAAGCUGUAGAAGUAUUUUCCAUACAUGUCCUAUAUUGAAGUUCACUAUAGAAUUGAUUUGGUCAAAACUAGAAUGACAGACUGGAGGCGUUUCAUGUCUAUAUAGCUGAAAAUUGUUGUAUUUGUUAAAAUUGAUCAUUUGGAUCUUCACAUUUGGAUUGUUAGAGAUGUGCAACCAUGACACAUUUUCCUUCAGAGCUUUGUUGUUUUUUUCUGCCAUAUUCUGUAUCAAAAACAAUAAUGAUAAACUGUAUUUUGUUGUAUGAAUAUCCUGUUUGUGUCAAACUGUAUGUUGUGUGU
Molecule: long non-coding RNA, 489 nt
Organism: Poecilia latipinna (sailfin molly)
Lineage: Eukaryota; Metazoa; Chordata; Actinopteri; Cyprinodontiformes; Poeciliidae
Exons: 2
Source: RefSeq, a predicted model, not a curated record